AGGCCUUCGGGCCUGGGGACAGCGGCGAACGGGUGAGUAACACGUGGGUAAUCUGCCCUCGGCAUCGGGAUAGCCCGGGGAAACCCGGAUUAAUACCGAAUUGCCUCCGGAGCCUGCGGGCGCCGGAGAAAAGGUGGCUUCGGCUUCCGGCUGAGGAUGAGCCCGCGGCGGAUUAGCUUGUUGGCGGGGUAACGGCCCACCAAGGCGACGAUCCGUAGCUGGUCUGAGAGGACGAUCAGCCACACUGGGACUGAGACACGGCCCAGACUCCUACGGGAGGCAGCAGUGGGGAAUCUUGCGCAAUGGGCGAAAGCCUGACGCAGCGACGCCGCGUGCGGGAAGAAGGCCUUCGGGUUGUAAACCGCUUUCAGGAGGGACGAAGCCACUCGGGUUAAUAGCCCAGAGGGUGACGGUACCUCCAGAAGAAGCCCCGGCUAACUACGUGCCAGCAGCCGCGGUAAUACGUAGGGGGCUAGCGUUGUCCGGAUUUAUUGGGCGUAAAGAGCGUGUAGGCGGGCAGGAAGGUCCGGUGUGAAAACUCGAGGCUCAACCUCGAGAAGUCGGCGGAAACCCUCUGG
RNAcentral lists this ribosomal RNA (578 nucleotides) under uncultured Patulibacter sp. Its description in RNAcentral is "bacterial SSU rRNA". It matches the Rfam family "Bacterial small subunit ribosomal RNA", at positions 74 to 640 of the family's 1533-position model. The record is from RNAcentral. Lineage: Bacteria; Bacillati; Actinomycetota; Thermoleophilia; Solirubrobacterales; Patulibacteraceae.